Molecule: ribosomal RNA, 407 nt
Filed under: uncultured bacterium
Lineage: Bacteria
Description: partial 16S ribosomal RNA
Rfam family: Bacterial small subunit ribosomal RNA
Source: RNAcentral
AUUGAACGCUGGCGGCAGGCCUAACACAUGCAAGUCGAGCGGAGCGGCGGACGGGUGCGUAAUGCCUAGGUAUCUGCCUGGUCGUGGGGGAUAACGUCCGGAAACGGGCGCUAAUACCGCAUACUAUCAGAUGAGCCUGGGUCGGAUUAGCUAGGUGGGGGGGGAAAGGCCUGCCAAGGCGACGAUCCGUAUCUGUUCUGAGAGGAUGAUCAGUCACACUGGAACUGAGACACGGUCCAGACUCCUCCGGGAGGCAGCGGUGGGGAAUGUUGGACAAUGGGCGAAAGGCUGAUCCAGCCAUGCCGAGUGUGUUAAGAAGGUCUUGGGCUUGUAAAGCACUUUUAGUUGGGAGGCGUUACCAGCUGAAGAAGCACCGGCUAACUCCGUGCCAGCAGCCGCGGUAAUUC